This 480-nucleotide ribosomal RNA is filed under the name uncultured bacterium. RNAcentral's name for it is "partial 16S ribosomal RNA". It matches the Rfam family "Bacterial small subunit ribosomal RNA", at positions 28 to 507 of the family's 1533-position model. The record is from RNAcentral.
GAUGAACGCUGGCGGCGUGCUUAACACAUGCAAGUCGAACGGAACUACUCCAAUGAGAGUCUUCGGAAAGGAUUUGGUUUAGUUUAGUGGCGGAUGGGUGAGUAACUCGUGGGUAACCUGCCCUAUACAGGGGGAUAACAGUUGGAAACGACUGUUAAUACCGCAUAAGCGCACAGGAGCGCAUGCUCCGGUGUGAAAAACUCCGGUGGUAUAGGAUGGACCCGCGUCUGAUUAGCUGGUUGGCGGGGUAACGGCCCACCAAGGCGACGAUCAGGAGCCGGACGGAGAGGGUGAACGGCAAGAUUGGAAGUGAGACACGGCCAAAACACCUACGGGAGGCAGCAGUGGGGAAUAUUGCACAAUGGGGAAAAACCUGAUGCAGCGAAGCCGAGUGAGAGAAGAAGUAAGUCGGUAUGUAAAGCACUAUCAGCAGGGAAGAAAAUGACGGUACCUGAAUAAGAAGACCAGGCUAACUACGUG